AUUGGACAAUGGGCGAAAGCCUGGUCCAGCCAUGCCGCGUCUGUGAAGAAGGUCUUCGGAUUCUAAAGCACUUUAAGUUGGGAGGAAGAGCAGUAACCUAAUACCUUCCUGUCUUGACGUUACCGCCACAAUAAGCACCGGCUAACUCUGUGCCAGCAGCCGCGGUAAUACAGAGGGUGCAAGCGUUAAUCGGAAUUACUGGGCGUAAAGCGCGCGUAGGUGGUUCGUUAAGUUGGAUGCGAAAGCCCCGGGCGCAACCUGGGAACUGCAUCCAAAACUGGCGAGCUAGAGUACGGUAGAGGGUGGUGGAAUUUCCUGUGUAGCGGUGAAAUGCGUAGAUAUAGGAAGGAACACCAGUGGCGAAGGCGACCACCUGGACUGAUACCGACACUGAGGUGCGAAAGCGUGGGGAGCAAACAGG
RNAcentral lists this ribosomal RNA (421 nucleotides) under uncultured bacterium. RNAcentral's name for it is "partial 16S ribosomal RNA". It matches the Rfam family "Bacterial small subunit ribosomal RNA", at positions 363 to 776 of the family's 1533-position model. The record is from RNAcentral.